Non-coding RNA from Vicia faba (fava bean), 258 nucleotides. The record is from the annotation of a GenBank genome assembly. Lineage: Eukaryota; Viridiplantae; Streptophyta; Magnoliopsida; Fabales; Fabaceae.
AUGAUACAUACAAAUGUAUUGGAACAGUUUCUGCCAAGAGUGGAUGUUGGUCUUCUUAAGGGUGGUUUUGUUCUUAACUCAUCUUCAAAUUCAUCUACCAUAAUCUCUCAUGUAUUUGGUUUUGGCGAUAUCGUGCAUCUUGCUAUUGGUGACGAGGUCCCUGCUGAUGGAUUAUUUGUUUCUGAUAUUCUCUAUUUAUUGAUGUCUAUACAUGACUGUUGUGAAAACGUGCAUUUGUAUGAAAAGCAAAGAAGUUAG